RNAcentral lists this ribosomal RNA (389 nucleotides) under uncultured bacterium. RNAcentral's name for it is "bacterial SSU rRNA". It matches the Rfam family "Bacterial small subunit ribosomal RNA", at positions 28 to 417 of the family's 1533-position model. The record is from RNAcentral.
GACGAACGCUGGCGGCGUGCUUAACACAUGCAAGUCGAGCGGUAAGGCCCUUUCGGGGGUACACGAGCGGCGAACGGGUGAGUAACACGUGGGUGACCUGCCCUCAGCCCUGGGAUAAGCCUGGGAAACCGGGUCUAAUACUGGAUAUGACUCCAUGACGCAUGUUGUGGGGUGGAAAGCCUUGUGCGGCUGAGGAUGGGCCCGCGGCCUAUCAGCUUGUUGGUGGGGUGAUGGCCUACCAAGGCGACGACGGGUAGCCGGCCUGAGAGGGCGACCGGCCACACUGGGACUGAGACACGGCCCAGACUCCUACGGGAGGCAGCAGGUGGGGAAUCUUGCGCAAUGGGCGAAAGCCUGACGCAGCGACGCCGCGUGAGGGAUGACGGCCU